GCCUUUGUGGGUGCGGCGCCCGGGAUGCCCUAGCGUUCUCUCUGUUUUUCUUUUUACCUGUCGCGCUUGUAACUUUUUGUUGUUAUUUUUCUCGGCUUCCGCUGUACUCCUAGAUGUUGUAACCUUUGCUUUGUUAGUAUGAUGUUGUACUUCUCACUUUUUCAUGUUGCGCGUUUUGAUUUCGCUCUUGCGCGUUGAUGCAGUUUUACGCUAUUUGGC
This 219-nucleotide long non-coding RNA is filed under the name Zostera marina. Its description in RNAcentral is "long non-coding RNA (ZMAR_LNC002151)". The record is from RNAcentral. Lineage: Eukaryota; Viridiplantae; Streptophyta; Magnoliopsida; Alismatales; Zosteraceae.